This is a non-coding RNA of Physcomitrium patens, 995 nucleotides long. The record is from RefSeq and is a predicted model, not a curated record. Lineage: Eukaryota; Viridiplantae; Streptophyta; Bryopsida; Funariales; Funariaceae.
UUGGCUCUGUGGGAGAUCGCUUCUACGGUGUUAUUUUUUGGCUAUGUUUUUUGGAAUUCAUCAAAGUUGGUAUUGUCGUCGGUUUCCCUGACACUGGGCGGCAAUGGCGUUGUUCUUGGUGUUGGCUGCAUUCGCGGCAAGCUUGCAACCAGAAGUAGUCAAGUUCGGCGGCCAAGUCCGCAUCAACAAUGUGUUCCGUUUUUGUUUCCUUGUGAUCAGUGGUUGCUGUGCUUUGUUCCUGGAGAGCUGCGGUUGGAUUGAGCGACUCAUCUUUGACAAUCCAUUGCUGCAGUCGAUUUUUUUUCUUAAUUGUUGGCAGCCGAAUUUGGUUUUCAACGUCUCUUGGACGGGCUUCAAAUCGCAUUUUGGUGGCAAAGUAAUAAGGCUUAGUGUGAGGUUGCUCUCUGCUAGAAGAUUCCCAUGAUCAAGCGUCUUCGAAGGUUCUAGAAGGGGAGUUCGGAUCAUUAGCAAGUGGGCGUGCAACAAAAGUUAUUCCUACGACAUGGGUUGUGUCUUUGGCGGAAGCGUGGAGAUGGGUUUGGCAGGGGUUGCUCCACAGAGAGGUUGAGCGUCAUCCUCCUCGCUCGUUGAAUCAAGCUGGCCUUCAUCGGAUAUGUGGCUUGUGGCGGAGUUGGAUUCUUGAGUUACUGGACUUUCCUAUCGACAACUACACCUCGCAAUUCGAUGCAUGCGGUGUUGUUGUGUGCUCAUCCAAGGCCAACUGAUAUUGACUCAAUAUUGCUAGGAAAUUAAAGCUAGCAUUGAUGACAAUGAGAGAAUGCUCUGCAGUAGUUGUUGAGAUGGAGCGGAAUGUUUCCAACAUCCUUAGUUAGGAAACGAGUAGCUAAUGUUGAGAGAAAACAUAGUCAAAAUUUAGGCUUGGAUUGUUGCAGCUACUGGCUAGUAUCAAGUAGUUGUUGUAGGUUGUUUUAAAUCACUGUAUUUUCCAACGAUCAAUAUAAAAAGAUAACCAUCUAAGUGAAUCCCUAGCAAUG